AAGGAGAAAAAUCAUAAAAGGAGGGUGGGGGAUGACCAUACCAAAAGGGAAUAAAAAGAGAGAAAAGGGGAAAAAAACCUACCUGCGAAGUCUUGUUUGUAGUUUUGGCCAGAAAUGGUGAGAAGAAAAAGCAUGAAGAAGCCGCGAAGUGUGGGGGAGAAAAAGGUGGAAGCGAAGAAACAGCUCCCGGAGCAAACUGUACAAAACCUCGCCAAGAGUGUCGGGAGGCAGGACCGUUAUUCCUGCGGAGCAGGUUAGAACUGAUCUCUUUCGGCCACUCCAGGAAACACAAACCUGGGGACGGACUGACGUGUUACGCCUCUUCUAAUGACAUUUUUUUCUUUUUCUUUUCUGUAGGAGAGAGAGGAGAGACCCUGAAACACGCGCCACCUAUCUUUGUGGGGAGGGAUAAUUGAAGCGCCCUGAGCGUGAGCAUCAUGUGAAAACGUGAUCGCCAAGUUUCUCUCUGGGAAAGGAUCUGGGAUAGAUUAUACCUUGAAGUCUCCGCAAACGCUUUAGUGGAAGAAAUGAAAUUCCACCUCCCUCCCUUCCUCUCUCCCUCCCUCUCGCCUCCCUCCCUCCCUCCCUCCCUCUCUUCUCCACGCCCCCCCCNCCCCCCCCCCCCCCCCCCCCCCCCCCCCCCCCGUCAAGCCUUUGGCAUCAUUAUCCUCAUCACUAAAUCCUACAGAGUACAGGGCGGAAAACGGUGCACACCAUUCACAGAACUGGAGAACUCUAAGGGGCGAAAGUUAAAGGGAAAGAUCCCGGGUCCUUAAUCCAGAUCGCCUCUUCUUAUACAGAUAUUUCUAAUGGCCAGACUUGAGAUGCACAUUAAGUUGUGUGGAUUUCUCAGCACGUCUUCUGGAACUAAAUUCUUUGCCCUUUUUCUUCUUUUAUUUUAUUUUAUUUUUCUUUUUGGAUGGCAGAGCCAGAAAAAAAAAUGCUGCAUGUGAACUACAUCUUAGGGUGUGUGUGCUGGGGUGUGUGUAUGAUGAAUUUCUGGAUUGGAUCUCAAUGGUAAAAAGUAGUUUGGCAUUUUUAAAA
This 1044-nucleotide long non-coding RNA is filed under the name Lynx pardinus (Iberian lynx). The stretch from base 615 to 714 matches the Rfam family "ZEB2 antisense RNA 1 conserved region 3". Lineage: Eukaryota; Metazoa; Chordata; Mammalia; Carnivora; Felidae. The record is from RNAcentral.